GUCUUUUUGAUUAUAAUUUAAAGUCUAACCUGCCCAAUGAUUUUUAAAUGGCCGCAGUAUUUUGACUGUGCAAAGGUAGCAUAAUCAUUAGUUUUUUAAUUGAAAGCUGGAAUGAAAGGUUGGACGAGAAAAUUACUGUCUCAAAUUAAAUUAAUAAAAUUUUAUUUUUAAGUUAAAAAGCUUAAAUAUUUUUAAAAGACGAGAAGACCCUAUAGAGUUUAAUAUUUAUUUAAAUUUUUAUUUUAUAAUUUAAUAUAUUUUAAUAAAUAUUUUAUUGGGGUGAUAAAUAAAUUUAAAUAACUUUAUUUAAUUUUUAACAUAAAUUUAUGAAUUAUUGAUCCAUUAUUGAUGAUUAUAAGAUUAAAUUACCUUAGGGAUAACAGCGUUAUUUUUCUAGAGAGUUCAAAUCGAAAGAAAAGAUUGCGACCUCGAUGUUGGAUUAAAGUUAAUAUUUGGUGUAGAAGCUAAAUUAUUGAGUCUGUUCGACUUUUAAAACUUUACAUGAUCUGAGUUUAAACCGGUGUGAGCCAGGUUGGUUUCUAUCUUUAAAUAAUUAAAAUAUUUUAGUACGAAAGGACCAAAUAUUUAUAAAAUUUAUUAUUAUUUGAAUAU
This 612-nucleotide ribosomal RNA is filed under the name Ochthebius capicola. RNAcentral describes it as "partial 16S ribosomal RNA". The stretch from base 376 to 534 matches the Rfam family "Bacterial large subunit ribosomal RNA", at positions 2473 to 2632 of the family's 2925-position model. Lineage: Eukaryota; Metazoa; Arthropoda; Insecta; Coleoptera; Hydraenidae. The record is from RNAcentral.